GCCGGGAUAGCUCAGUGGUAGAGCAGAGG
RNAcentral lists this transfer RNA (29 nucleotides) under Markea costanensis. RNAcentral describes it as "partial tRNA-Phe". The record is from RNAcentral. Lineage: Eukaryota; Viridiplantae; Streptophyta; Magnoliopsida; Solanales; Solanaceae.